RNAcentral lists this transfer RNA (84 nucleotides) under Fasciola hepatica (liver fluke). It matches the Rfam family "tRNA". Rfam says of the family: Transfer RNA (tRNA) molecules are approximately 80 nucleotides in length. Their secondary structure includes four short double-helical elements and three loops (D, anti-codon, and T loops). Further hydrogen bonds mediate the characteristic L-shaped molecular structure. tRNAs have two regions of fundamental functional importance: the anti-codon, which is responsible for specific mRNA codon recognition, and the 3' end, to which the tRNAs corresponding amino acid is attached (by aminoacyl-tRNA synthetases). tRNAs cope with the degeneracy of the genetic code in two manners: having more than one tRNA (with a specific anti-codon) for a particular amino acid; and 'wobble' base-pairing, i.e. permitting non-standard base-pairing at the 3rd anti-codon position. Lineage: Eukaryota; Metazoa; Platyhelminthes; Trematoda; Plagiorchiida; Fasciolidae. The record is from Rfam by way of RNAcentral.
GGCCUCGUAGCUCAGCUGAUAGAGCAAUCGAGGUGCUAAGGCGAGGAUGGCGACCAUGCGUAGGUUCGAAUCCCGCUGAGGCCA